CUACUGGCGUCGAGAGGCGGCGGGAUGGCCAUGCAGAAGUCAGCAGAGGGCAUAGUAGGUCGCGAGGCCGAAGGCC
Molecule: non-coding RNA, 76 nt
Organism: Burkholderia ubonensis Bu
Lineage: Bacteria; Pseudomonadati; Pseudomonadota; Betaproteobacteria; Burkholderiales; Burkholderiaceae
Source: Rfam